GUACAAGUUUAAGUUACAGCUUUGAUUACUGUAUUUAUUGGACCCAAAUUUAACGUGUUUGUUAAAGGUCAGUGUCCAGGUUUAGUUGCUUAGAAUUGAUAUCGAUUUGAAACAUGCAUUUAUUGGACCUAAAUCUAAAUACUUUAAUCACACUAACCUUUUAAACCUUUCAAACGUCAUGUACUUAUGUGAAUUUCUCAACGUUUUUGGUACAUUAAUUAGCUUGCCGACGUAUUUAUAUGGUGAAGCGACUGGUUGCAUAACUGGCACUAAGCACCGUGUUAUAUUCAAUAAUGUUUUCGCUGGAUGGAAGUAAGGUAUGGAUAAAUGCUUGACUCUUUGAAGUCAAAAGUCAACAUUUUUAAUUUGGAAGUUAAUGUAGUGUUUGUUACAAAAGCUACAACAAACCAAUCUUUGUGCCAUAUAUGUUAUAAGGGUUGAUUGACUUAUUUGAGAUUUUAUCCAAAACUUGAAAGAAUAUGUCAUUUUGAGGUCAAAAAUUGGUUUGUUCGACCUCAAAAGUAAUGCACAUUCUUACCCUGAUUUAUCUUUGGAUGACCUUGUCAGAUUGAACGAACAAGCUGAGAUUUCUAAGGAGAUCUGGUAUCUUUAAGUGAUUAUAUUAAUGAAUUUAUUUUAAUUAUAUCCUUAUGAAAAAGCAUAAUUCAACUUGAAAAUAUUGAUGAAAGGAAAAAUUGCAAAGUCUACCAGAGAUAUCAUACGAAAUGUAUUGUUUUAUGUUUAUCUAAUAUUGGCCUGUUGUAUUGUAGUGUUCAUAUAAGGAAGUUCGUCUUAAUGAGCCAGACAUGGGAGAUAAGAAGAAAUAGCUAAAAGAAGGCAUGGAUUGUAGUUUGCUAUUUUGGAAGGGAAAGGUUAUCGAUUUUGAGGUCCCAUUACAGGUUAAAGUGAAAAUAGUCGAGGUUGAUUCUCGUACGAAAGGUGACACGACAUCAGGUGGAUCAAAACCAGCAACUGUGAAACCAGUGCUAUUGAUUAUGUUCCUUUGUUGAUCAAUAAAUUAUCGUCGAUACACGAACAGGGCAGUACGUGAGUUGCGUAUGAGUAGCUGGAACACGUCAAUGAGUUUUUUUCUUGCAGUAAAAUGUUUGCUCAAUUAUGUCUGCAGGAGAAGUUAAUGUUUGCCCAAGGAGGUUGAGACGGAGAGCGUUAUAGUUAGCAUAAUGUAAAUAUAUUGAUUUACACAUAAGAAUGAAUAUCGAUAAAUUAAAGAAUUCAUGGUUAUGCUA
RNA transcript from Helianthus annuus (common sunflower), 1247 nucleotides. RefSeq lists it as uncharacterized. The record is from RefSeq and is a predicted model, not a curated record. NCBI's taxonomy places the organism in Eukaryota, Viridiplantae, Streptophyta, Magnoliopsida, Asterales, Asteraceae. The transcript has 2 exons.